RNAcentral lists this ribosomal RNA (78 nucleotides) under Frullania chevalieri. RNAcentral's name for it is "partial 26S ribosomal RNA". It matches the Rfam family "Eukaryotic large subunit ribosomal RNA", at positions 1 to 77 of the family's 3401-position model. RNAcentral also lists the same sequence under 1 other name. Lineage: Eukaryota; Viridiplantae; Streptophyta; Jungermanniopsida; Porellales; Frullaniaceae. The record is from RNAcentral.
UGGACCUCAGAUCAGGCAAGAUCACCCGCUGAGUUUAAGCAUAUCACUAAGCGGAGGAAAAGAAACUAACGAGGAUUC